UGCAGUCGAGCGAAGAGAUGGGAGCUUGCUCCCUGAUCUUAGCGGCGGACGGGUGAGUAACACGUGGGCAACCUGCCCUGCAGACUGGGAUAACUCCGGGAAACCGGAGCUAAUACCGGGUAAUACAUCGCACCGCAUGGUGCAAUGUUGAAAGUUGGCUUUCGAGCUAACACUGCAGGAUGGGCCCGCGGCGCAUUAGCUAGUUGGUAAGGUAAUGGCUUACCAAGGCGACGAUGCGUAGCCGACCUGAGAGGGUGAUCGGCCACACUGGGACUGAGACACGGCCCAGACUCCUACGGGAGGCAGCAGUAGGGAAUCUUCCGCAAUGGACGAAAGUCUGACGGAGCAACGCCGCGUGAGUGACGAAGGCCUUCGGGUCGUAAAGCUCUGUUGUUAGGGAAGAACAAGUACCGUUCGAAUAGGGCGGUACCUUGACGGUACCUAACCAGAAAGCCACGGCUAACUACGUGCCAGCAGCCGCGGUAAUACGUAGGUGGCAAGCGUUGUCCGGAAUUAUUGGGCGUAAAGCGCGCGCAGGCGGUCUUUUAAGUCUGAUGUGAAAGCCCACGGCUCAACCGUGGAGGGUCAUUGGAAACUGGAGGACUUGAGUGCAGAAGAGGAGAGUGGAAUUCCACGUGUAGCGGUGAAAUGCGUAGAUAUGUGGAGGAACACCAGUGGCGAAGGCGGCUCUCUGGUCUGUAACUGACGCUGAGGCG
This 716-nucleotide ribosomal RNA is filed under the name Guptibacillus hwajinpoensis. RNAcentral's name for it is "bacterial SSU rRNA". It matches the Rfam family "Bacterial small subunit ribosomal RNA", at positions 56 to 753 of the family's 1533-position model. The record is from RNAcentral. Lineage: Bacteria; Bacillati; Bacillota; Bacilli; Caryophanales; Guptibacillaceae.